GGAUGGGAGGGCCACCUGGCUGCAAUAUCUGUCACCCCAUGGAUCGCCAGGGUUGGUUUGAUUGAUCUGGCUGGUUAGGUUGGGGUACCGCCCUUCCCCCCUGCCCAACCACCCCAAAGCAGGAGCACUGCUCCUCUGCCAGGGGUGUAGGAGCAGCUGGGCUCCCUGCUGAAACUUCCAAACAAGCUCUCAAAAGGUAAAUAGUUCAAAAAAAUCCAACCAACCAGACAAACAAACAAACAAAAAACAGAAAUAAUU
This is an unclassified non-coding RNA of Cavia porcellus (domestic guinea pig), 258 nucleotides long. Its record names the gene 7SK. It matches the Rfam family "7SK RNA". From Rfam's summary of the family: 7SK was discovered as an abundant small nuclear RNA in the mid-70s but a possible function has only recently been suggested. Two independent studies have found that 7SK RNA binds the CDK9/cyclin T complex (known as elongation factor P-TEFb). P-TEFb activates transcription by phosphorylating the C-terminal domain of RNA polymerase II. NCBI's taxonomy places the organism in Eukaryota, Metazoa, Chordata, Mammalia, Rodentia, Caviidae. The record is from Ensembl.